GAGUUUGAUCAUGGCUCAGGAUUAACGCUGGCGGCAUGCCUAAUACAUGCAAGUCGAACGGAGUAGCAAUACUUAGUGGCGAACGGGUGAGUAACACGUAUCUAAUCUACCAUUUAGUGGGGAAUAACUGUUGGAAACGACAGCUAAUACCGCAUAAUAUUGCUGGAUAAUUUCCAGUAAUGAAAGGAGCUUUCAAGCUCCGCUGAUUGAUGAGGAUGCGGCGCAUUAGCUAGUUGGUAGGGUAAUGGCCUACCAAGGCAAUGAUGCGUAGCCGAUCUGAGAGGAUGAACGGCCACAUUGGGACUGAGACACGGCCCAAACUUCUACGGAAGGCAGCAGUAGGGAAUUUUUCACAAUGGGCGAAAGCCUGAUGGAGCAAUGCCGCGUGACUGAUGAAGGUCUUCGGAUUGUAAAGGUCUGUUGUAAGGGAAGAAAUGGUAAAACAGGAAAUGGUUUUAUCUAUGACGGUACCUUACCAGAAAGCCACGGCUAACUAUGUGCCAGCAGCCGCGGUAAUACAUAGGUGGCAAGCGUUAUCCGGAUUUAUUGGGCGUAAAGGGUGCGUAGACGGUUUUGCAAGUCUGAGGUUAAAUUUAGGAGCUCAACUCCUAAUCGCCUUGGAAACUACAAGACUAGAGUAUAGGAGAGGGUUAGUGGAAUUCCAUGUGUAGCGGGUGGAAUGUGUAG
Molecule: ribosomal RNA, 687 nt
Filed under: uncultured Spiroplasma sp.
Lineage: Bacteria; Bacillati; Mycoplasmatota; Mollicutes; Entomoplasmatales; Spiroplasmataceae
Description: bacterial SSU rRNA
Rfam family: Bacterial small subunit ribosomal RNA
Source: RNAcentral